RNAcentral lists this ribosomal RNA (484 nucleotides) under uncultured bacterium. RNAcentral's name for it is "partial 16S ribosomal RNA". It matches the Rfam family "Bacterial small subunit ribosomal RNA", at positions 28 to 523 of the family's 1533-position model. The record is from RNAcentral.
GACGAACGCUGGCGGCGUGCUUAACACAUGCAAGUCGAACGAUGAAGCCGGAGCUUGCUCUGGUGAAUUAGUGGCGGACGGGUGAGUAACACGUGAGUAACCUGCCCUUGACUCUGGGAUAACUGCGGGCAACUGUAGCUAAUACCGGAUACGACCCUCGGAGGCAUCUCCUGGGGGGGGAAAGAAUUUCGGUCAAGGAUGGACUCGCGGCCUAUCAGCUAGUUGGUGAGGUAAAGGCUCACCAAGGCGACGACGGGUCGCCGGCCGGAGAGGGGGACCAGCCACAGUGGGACUGGGACCCAGCCCAGACACCUGCGGGAGGCAGCAGUGGGGAAUAUUGCACAAUGGGCGCAAGCCUGAUGCAGCAACGCCGCGUGAGGGAUGACGGCCUUCGGGUUGUAAACCUCUUUUAGCAGGGAAGAAGCGAAAGUGACGGUACCUGCAGAAAAAGCACCGGCUAACUACGUGCCAGCCGCCGCAGUAA